RNAcentral lists this long non-coding RNA (490 nucleotides) under Brassica napus (rape). RNAcentral describes it as "long non-coding RNA (BNAP_LNC018465)". Lineage: Eukaryota; Viridiplantae; Streptophyta; Magnoliopsida; Brassicales; Brassicaceae. The record is from RNAcentral.
UUGAUAAUCGCUUUGAUGCAUCUGUUCGGUUAGCAACCUUUCUCGUGUUGGGCGAUCAUUUGACUGGACCCGAACUCGGGAGGUCGGGCUAUCAGAACUCGUCGUCGGCCUCCUGCGGUUUGAGGAAAUUAUCGGUGAAAUUUGGCGAGAUGAAUUAUUUUUAUUAGUAACAGAGAUUCGAUUUGGCUGAAGUCGGAAUUGAAUCUCAUGUUCCGUUUCUAGUUACGAUCUGGUAAGGUCGAUGUCAUCUUGAUGGGAUGGUUCGUUUGUUGCGAUAUUUGACACCAUAUGAGAUGGAUCCACUUUCGUGCUAACAAGCCUUAGAUCGAGUUCCUAGCAAGGAUGUUUUUCGUUUCUCUUCCCACAGCCGGCGUCAAAAUGUAGAUAUUAAAAUCUACACUAAGAAUUUGAUAGUGAUCGGGAGUUCAAUCUAGGGAAGAAAUAACGUGGGCAACGAUAUCCUCAUAACACAAUGAUAUAAUCAGGUCUG